Eleginops maclovinus (Patagonian blennie) is the source of this 528-nucleotide long non-coding RNA. RefSeq lists it as uncharacterized. The transcript is spliced from 3 exons. The record is from RefSeq and is a predicted model, not a curated record. Lineage: Eukaryota; Metazoa; Chordata; Actinopteri; Perciformes; Eleginopidae.
UUUUCAAAUUAGUCAACAAGAUGGAGAUUUAAAUAUUGCAAAUGAUUGAAAUAUUGUUUUUGGAGAACUUAAGAGCUUUAGAAAUGACGACUUGUAUCCCCUUGCAUCAUUUUAAAUGGAGCUCUUUUUCUCAUUUUGACCACAGCACGUAGAAGAGUUGGCCUUGAAGUCCACGUACUCUUUGACCUUGGCGCCCAGCGGAGCUCUCAGCAUGGCGUCAGCAGAAAUCUUCCCCCUGUUGAGAGCAGGUCGCUUCAUCUUAUCCUUCAGCUCCUCAAUCUUCAUGGAAAUAUUUUCAAGCUGCAGGAAACAAUGACAAGUGAAAGAAAACCUGUUGAGGUGAGAAGCGGCUGUGAAUUCUCUUCUUUUCCUCAAGAGAAAAACCCACCCGAAUGUAAUGGAAAUAGCCUCCUGUGAGCUGACAUAGUCUGUAUCACUUCACCUCUACACGGCAUCCCCCCACACCGGGUUGACCACCACUUCUGUAUACUCCCGUUACUCACCACCACCAAGAGUAGAGGCUUUAAA